GACGAACGCUGGCGGCGUGCUUAACACAUGCAAGUCGAACGGAAAGGCCCUGCUUUUGUGGGGUGCUCGAGUGGCGAACGGGUGAGUAACACGUGAGUAACCUGCCCUUGACUUUGGGAUAACUUCAGGAAACUGGGGCUAAUACCGGAUAGGAGCUCCUGCUGCAUGGUGAGGGUUGGAAAGUUUCGGCGGUUGGGGAUGGACUCGCGGCUUAUCAGCUUGUUGGUGGGGUAGUGGCUUACCAAGGCUUUGACGGGUAGCCGGCCUGAGAGGGUGACCGGCCACAUUGGGACUGAGAUACGGCCCAGACUCCUACGGGAGGCAGCAGUGGGGAAUAUUGCACAAUGGGCGGAAGCCUGAUGCAGCAACGCCGCGUGCGGGAUCACGGCCUUCGGGUUGUAAACCGCUUUCGCCUGUGACGAAGCGUGAGUGACGGUAAUGGGUAAAGAAGCACCGGCUAACUACGUG
Molecule: ribosomal RNA, 468 nt
Filed under: uncultured bacterium
Lineage: Bacteria
Description: partial 16S ribosomal RNA
Rfam family: Bacterial small subunit ribosomal RNA
Source: RNAcentral